GGCCUGGUGGUGUAAUGGUAACGCGCCCGCUUGAUAUAAUUCACUCUAGUCCUUCUCUGCAGGAGUUCCUUGUUCGAAUCAAGGCUAGGCCA
This is a non-coding RNA of Mycena vulgaris, 92 nucleotides long. The record is from the annotation of a GenBank genome assembly. NCBI's taxonomy places the organism in Eukaryota, Fungi, Basidiomycota, Agaricomycetes, Agaricales, Mycenaceae.